Molecule: ribosomal RNA, 201 nt
Filed under: uncultured bacterium
Lineage: Bacteria
Description: partial 16S ribosomal RNA
Rfam family: Bacterial small subunit ribosomal RNA
Source: RNAcentral
UACGUAGGGUGCGAGCGUUUGUCCGGAAUUAUUGGGCGUAAAGGGCUCGUAGGCGGUCUGUCGCGUCGGGAGUGAAAACUCAGGGCUUAACCCUGAGCCUGCUUCCGAUACGGGCAGACUAGAGGUAUGCAGGGGAGAACGGAAUCCUGGUGUAGCGGUGGAAUGCGGCAGAUAUCAGGAGGAACACCGGUGGCGAAGGCG